AUUGAACGCUGGCGGCAUGCCUUACACAUGCAAGUCGAACGGCAGCGCGGGGCAACCUGGCGGCGAGUGGCGAACGGGUGAGUAACAUAUCGGAACAUACCCUAGAGUGGGGGAUAACGUAGCGAAAGUUACGCUAAUACCGCAUACGCACUAAGGUGGAAAGUGGGGGGAUCUUCGGACCGUCAUGCUCAUGGAGUGGCCGAUAUCUGAUUAGCUAGUUGGUGAGGUAAAGGCGUCACCAAGGCGACGAUCAGUAGCUGGUUUGAGAGAACGACCAGCCACACUGGAACUGAGACACGGUCCAGACUCCUACGGGAGGCAGCAGUGGGGAAUUUUGGACAAUGGGGGCAACCUGAUCCAGCAAUGCCGCGUGAGUGAAGAAGGCCUUCGGUUGGUUAAA
RNAcentral lists this ribosomal RNA (400 nucleotides) under uncultured bacterium. Its description in RNAcentral is "bacterial SSU rRNA". It matches the Rfam family "Bacterial small subunit ribosomal RNA", at positions 30 to 430 of the family's 1533-position model. The record is from RNAcentral.